CUGCUGCCUUCCGUAGGAGUUUGGGCCGUGUCUCAGUCCCAAUGUGGCCGGCCACCCUCUCAGGUCGGCUACUGAUCGCUGCCUUGGUGGGCCGUUACCCCGCCAACUAGCUAAUCAGACGCGGAUCCAUCCCAUACCACCGGAGUUUUUCACACUGCGCCAUGCGGCUCCGUGCGCUUAUGCGGUAUUAGCAGUCAUUUCUAACUGUUAUCCCCCGGUAUGGGGCAGGUUAUCCACGCGUUACUCACCCGUCCG
Molecule: ribosomal RNA, 255 nt
Filed under: uncultured bacterium
Lineage: Bacteria
Description: partial 16S ribosomal RNA
Source: RNAcentral